This 231-nucleotide non-coding RNA is filed under the name Clostridium sp. RNAcentral describes it as "T-box sequence". It matches the Rfam family "T-box leader". From Rfam's summary of the family: Uncharged tRNA acts as the effector for transcription antitermination of genes in the T-box leader family. T-boxes are found upstream of many aminoacyl-tRNA synthetase genes and some amino acid biosynthetic genes usually in Gram-positive bacteria. The record is from RNAcentral. Lineage: Bacteria; Bacillati; Bacillota; Clostridia; Eubacteriales; Clostridiaceae.
ACACAAGCGAUGACAAGGAAUAGUAAUCCCGGAAUCUGUUUCAGAGAGCAGCCGGUCGGUGCGAGGCUGUACAGUACCCCUGAUGAACUCGCCUCCAAGCUGCAUUCUUGAACUGACAGUAGAGGAUGACGGUUCCCACCGUUAUAUGGGUAUUGCAUGAUAGUGCAGAUGAGAGCAUGUUUUUACAUGAAGUAGAGUGGUACCGCGAAGAAUUUUAUCUUCGUCUCUACA